UUUAUGGAGAGUUUGAUCCUGGCUCAGGAUGAACGCUGGCGGCGUGCCUAAUACAUGCAAGUCGAGCGAACGGACGAGAAGCUUGCUUCUCUGAUGUUAGCGGCGGACGGGUGAGUAACACGUGGAUAACCUACCUAUAAGACUGGGAUAACUUCGGGAAACCGGAGCUAAUACCGGAUAAUAUUUUGAACCGCAUGGUUCGAAAGUGAAAGACGGUCUUGCUGUCACUUAUAGAUGGAUCCGCGCUGCAUUAGCUAGUUGGUAAGGUAACGGCUUACCAAGGCAACGAUGCAUAGCCGACCUGAGAGGGUGAUCGGCCACACUGGAACUGAGACACGGUCCAGACUCCUACGGGAGGCAGCAGUAGGGAAUCUUCCGCAAUGGGCGAAAGCCUGACGGAGCAACGCCGCGUGAGUGAUGAAGGUCUUCGGAUCGUAAAACUCUGUUAUUAGGGAA
This 456-nucleotide ribosomal RNA is filed under the name Staphylococcus aureus. RNAcentral's name for it is "bacterial SSU rRNA". It matches the Rfam family "Bacterial small subunit ribosomal RNA", at positions 1 to 446 of the family's 1533-position model. The record is from RNAcentral. Lineage: Bacteria; Bacillati; Bacillota; Bacilli; Caryophanales; Staphylococcaceae.